RNAcentral lists this ribosomal RNA (468 nucleotides) under uncultured bacterium. Its description in RNAcentral is "partial 16S ribosomal RNA". It matches the Rfam family "Bacterial small subunit ribosomal RNA", at positions 28 to 507 of the family's 1533-position model. The record is from RNAcentral.
GACGAACGCUGGCGGCGUGCUUAACACAUGCAAGUCGAACGGAAAGGCCCUGCGUUUGUGGGGUGCUCGAGUGGCGAACGGGUGAGUAACACGUGAGUAACCUGCCCUUGACUUUGGGAUAACUUCAGGAAACUGGGGCUAAUACCGGAUAGGAGCUCCUGCUGCAUGGUGGGGGUUGGAAAGUUUCGGCGGUUGGGGAUGGACUCGCGGCUUAUCAGCUUGUUGGUGGGGUAGUGGCUUACCAAGGCUUUGACGGGUAGCCGGCCUGAGAGGGUGACCGGCCACAUUGGGACUGCGAUACGGCCCAGACUCCUACGGGAGGCAACAGUGGGGAAUAUUGCACAAUGGGCGGAAGCCUGAUGCAGCAACGCCGCGUGCGGGAUGACGGCCUUCGGGUUGUAAACCGCUUUCGCCUGUGACGAAGCGUGAGUGACGGUAAUGGGUAAAAAAGCACCGGCUAACUACGUG